CAUGCAAGUCGAACGAUUGCAGCAAUGCAAUAGUGGCAAACGGGUGAGUAACACGUGAAUAAUCUGCCUUUGAGAGAGGGAUAAUUCCAUGAAAAUGGGACUAAUACCUCAUAUUGUUCAGCUAGGUAAGCCUAACUGAAUGAAAGCUUUUGCGCUCAGAGAUGAGUUCGCGUUCUAUUAGCUAGUUGGUAGGGUAAGAGCUUACCAAGGCAACGAUGGAUAGCCGGCCUGAGAGGGUGAUCGGCCACACUGGAACUGAGAUACGGUCCAGACUCCUACGGGAGGCAGCAGUUAAGAAUAUUGCGCAAUGAGGGAAACCUUGACGCAGCGACACCGCGUGCAGGAGGAAGGCUUUCGGGUUGUAAACUGCAAUAAAUAGGGAAGAAUCAAUGACGGUACCUAUUGAAAGCACCGGCUAAAUACGUGCCAGCAGCCGCGGUAAUACGUAUGGUGCAAGCGUUGUUCGGAAUUACUGGGCGUAAAGCGCGUGUAGGUGGAUAAUUAAGUUGGGCGUGAAAUCCCUAGGCUCAACCUAGGAACUGCGUUCAAAACUGAUUAUCUAGAGUUUCGGAGAGGCAAGCGGAAUUCUCGGUGUAGCGG
Molecule: ribosomal RNA, 600 nt
Filed under: uncultured Spirochaetota bacterium
Lineage: Bacteria; Pseudomonadati; Spirochaetota
Description: bacterial SSU rRNA
Rfam family: Bacterial small subunit ribosomal RNA
Source: RNAcentral